Molecule: ribosomal RNA, 2924 nt
Filed under: Shigella boydii
Lineage: Bacteria; Pseudomonadati; Pseudomonadota; Gammaproteobacteria; Enterobacterales; Enterobacteriaceae
Description: 23S ribosomal RNA
Rfam family: Bacterial large subunit ribosomal RNA
Source: RNAcentral
GGGUUGUGAGGUUAAGCGACUAAGCGUACACGGUGGAUGCCCUGGCAGUCAGAGGCGAUGAAGGACGUGCUAAUCUGCGAUAAGCGUCGGUAAGGUGAUAUGAACCGUUAUAACCGGCGAUUUCCGAAUGGGGAAACCCAGUGUGUUUCGACACACUAUCAUUAACUGAAUCCAUAGGUUAAUGAGGCGAACCGGGGGAACUGAAACAUCUAAGUACCCCGAGGAAAAGAAAUCAACCGAGAUUCCCCCAGUAGCGGCGAGCGAACGGGGAGCAGCCCAGAGCCUGAAUCAGUGUGUGUGUUAGUGGAAGCGUCUGGAAAGGCGCGCGAUACAGGGUGACAGCCCCGUACACAAAAAUGCACAUGCUGUGAGCUCGAUGAGUAGGGCGGGACACGUGGUAUCCUGUCUGAAUAUGGGGGGACCAUCCUCCAAGGCUAAAUACUCCUGACUGACCGAUAGUGAACCAGUACCGUGAGGGAAAGGCGAAAAGAACCCCGGCGAGGGGAGUGAAAAAGAACCUGAAACCGUGUACGUACAAGCAGUGGGAGCCUCUUUAUGGGGUGACUGCGUACCUUUUGUAUAAUGGGUCAGCGACUUAUAUUCUGUAGCAAGGUUAACCGAAUAGGGGAGCCGAAGGGAAACCGAGUCUUAACUGGGCGUUAAGUUGCAGGGUAUAGACCCGAAACCCGGUGAUCUAGCCAUGGGCAGGUUGAAGGUUGGGUAACACUAACUGGAGGACCGAACCGACUAAUGUUGAAAAAUUAGCGGAUGACUUGUGGCUGGGGGUGAAAGGCCAAUCAAACCGGGAGAUAGCUGGUUCUCCCCGAAAGCUAUUUAGGUAGCGCCUCGUGAAUUCAUCUCCGGGGGUAGAGCACUGUUUCGGCAAGGGGGUCAUCCCGACUUACCAACCCGAUGCAAACUGCGAAUACCGGAGAAUGUUAUCACGGGAGACACACGGCGGGUGCUAACGUCCGUCGUGAAGAGGGAAACAACCCAGACCGCCAGCUAAGGUCCCAAAGUCAUGGUUAAGUGGGAAACGAUGUGGGAAGGCCCAGACAGCCAGGAUGUUGGCUUAGAAGCAGCCAUCAUUUAAAGAAAGCGUAAUAGCUCACUGGUCGAGUCGGCCUGCGCGGAAGAUGUAACGGGGCUAAACCAUGCACCGAAGCUGCGGCAGCGACGCUUAUGCGUUGUUGGGUAGGGGAGCGUUCUGUAAGCCUGUGAAGGUGUGCUGUGAGGCAUACUGGAGGUAUCAGAAGUGCGAAUGCUGACAUAAGUAACGAUAAAGCGGGUGAAAAGCCCGCUCGCCGGAAGACCAAGGGUUCCUGUCCAACGUUAAUCGGGGCAGGGUGAGUCGACCCCUAAGGCGAGGCCGAAAGGCGUAGUCGAUGGGAAACAGGUUAAUAUUCCUGUACUUGGUGUUACUGCGAAGGGGGGACGGAGAAGGCUAUGUUGGCCGGGCGACGGUUGUCCCGGUUUAAGCGCGUAGGCUGAUUUUCCAGGCAAAUCCGGAAAAUCAAGGCUGAGGCGUGAUGACGAGGCACUACGGUGCUGAAGCAACAAAUGCCCUGCUUCCAGGAAAAGCCUCUAAGCAUCAGGUAACAUCAAAUCGUACCCCAAACCGACACAGGUGGUCAGGUAGAGAAUACCAAGGCGCUUGAGAGAACUCGGGUGAAGGAACUAGGCAAAAUGGUGCCGUAACUUCGGGAGAAGGCACGCUGAUAUGUAGGUGAAGUCCCUCGCGGAUGGAGCUGAAAUCAGUCGAAGAUACCAGCUGGCUGCAACUGUUUAUUAAAAACACAGCACUGUGCAAACACGAAAGUGGACGUAUACGGUGUGACGCCUGCCCGGUGCCGGAAGGUUAAUUGAUGGGGUCAGCGCAAGCGAAGCUCUUGAUCGAAGCCCCGGUAAACGGCGGCCGUAACUAUAACGGUCCUAAGGUAGCGAAAUUCCUUGUCGGGUAAGUUCCGACCUGCACGAAUGGCGUAAUGAUGGCCAGGCUGUCUCCACCCGAGACUCAGUGAAAUUGAACUCGCUGUGAAGAUGCAGUGUACCCGCGGCAAGACGGAAAGACCCCGUGAACCUUUACUAUAGCUUGACACUGAACAUUGAGCCUUGAUGUGUAGGAUAGGUGGGAGGCUUUGAAGUGUGGACGCCAGUCUGCAUGGAGCCGGCCUUGAAAUACCACCCUUUAAUGUUUGAUGUUCUAACGUGGACCCGUAAUCCGGGUUGCGGACAGUGUCUGGUGGGUAGUUUGACUGGGGCGGUCUCCUCCUAAAGAGUAACGGAGGAGCACGAAGGUUGGCUAAUCCUGGUCGGACAUCAGGAGGUUAGUGCAAUGGCAUAAGCCAGCUUGACUGCGAGCGUGACGGCGCGAGCAGGUGCGAAAGCAGGUCAUAGUGAUCCGGUGGUUCUGAAUGGAAGGGCCAUCGCUCAACGGAUAAAAGGUACUCCGGGGAUAACAGGCUGAUACCGCCCAAGAGUUCAUAUCGACGGCGGUGUUUGGCACCUCGAUGUCGGCUCAUCACAUCCUGGGGCUGAAGUAGGUCCCAAGGGUAUGGCUGUUCGCCAUUUAAAGUGGUACGCGAGCUGGGUUUAGAACGUCGUGAGACAGUUCGGUCCCUAUCUGCCGUGGGCGCUGGAGAACUGAGGGGGGCUGCUCCUAGUACGAGAGGACCGGAGUGGACGCAUCACUGGUGUUCGGGUUGUCAUGCCAAUGGCACUGCCCGGUAGCUAAAUGCGGAAGAGAUAAGUGCUGAAAGCAUCUAAGCACGAAACUUGCCCCGAGAUGAGUUCUCCCUGACCCUUUAAGGGUCCUGAAGGAACGUUGAAGACGACGACGUUGAUAGGCCGGGUGUGUAAGCGCAGCGAUGCGUUGAGCUAACCGGUACUAAUGAACCGUGAGGCUUAACCUUACAACGCCGAAG